RNAcentral lists this ribosomal RNA (338 nucleotides) under uncultured bacterium. RNAcentral describes it as "bacterial SSU rRNA". It matches the Rfam family "Bacterial small subunit ribosomal RNA", at positions 30 to 361 of the family's 1533-position model. The record is from RNAcentral.
AUUGAACGCUGGCGGCAGGCUUAACACAUGCAAGUCGAGCGGAAACGGAGGUAGCUUGCUACCAGACGUCGAGCGGCGAACGGGUGAGUAACGCGUAGGAAUCUACCUAGUAGAGGGGGAUAGCCCGGGGAAACUCGGAUUAAUACCGCAUACGCCCUAAACGGGAAAGGACAGGGAGUCUUCGGACCUUGCGCUAUUAGAUGAGCCUGCGUCGGAUUAGCUAGUUGGUAAGGUAAAGGACUUACCAAGGCGACGAUCCGUAGCUGGUCUGAGAGGAUGAUCAGCCACACUGGAACUGAGACACGGUCCAGACUCCUACGGGAGGCAGCAGUGGGGAA